ACGGGUGAGUAAUGCAUCGGAACGUACCGAGUAAUGGGGGAUAACUAUCCGAAAGGAUAGCUAAUACCGCAUACGCUUUGAGAAGGAAAGUGGGGGCUCUUCGGACCUCACGUUAUUCGAGCGGCCGAUGUCUGAUUAGCUAGUUGGUGGGGUAAGGGCCUACCAAGGCGACGAUCAGUAGCGGGUCUGAGAGGGUGAUCGGCCACACUGGGACUGAGACACGGCCCAGACUCCUACGGGAGGCAGCAGUAGGGAAUCUUCGGCAAUGGACGAAAGUCUGACCGAGCAACGCCGCGUGAGUGAAGAAGGUUUUCGGAUCGUAAAGCUCUGUUGUAAGAGAAGAACGGGUGUGAGAGUGGAAAGUUCACACUGUGACGGUAUCUUACCAGAAAGGGACGGCUAACUACGUGCCAGCAGCCGCGGUAAUACGUAGGUCCCGAGCGUUGUCCGGAUUUAUUGGGCGUAAAGCGAGCGCAGGCGGUUAGAUAAGUCUGAAGUUAAAGGCUGUGGCUUAACCAUAGUACGCUUUGGAAACUGUUUAACUUGAGUGCAGAAGGGGAGAGUGGAAUUCCAUGUGUAGCGGUGAAAUGCGUAGAUAUAUGGAGGAACACCGGUGGCGAAAGCGGCUCUCUGGUCUGUAACUGACGCUGAGGCUCGAAAGCGUGGGGAGCGAACAGGAUUAGAUACCCU
Molecule: ribosomal RNA, 690 nt
Filed under: uncultured bacterium
Lineage: Bacteria
Description: bacterial SSU rRNA
Rfam family: Bacterial small subunit ribosomal RNA
Source: RNAcentral